Molecule: non-coding RNA, 103 nt
Organism: Tephrocybe sp. NHM501043
Lineage: Eukaryota; Fungi; Basidiomycota; Agaricomycetes; Agaricales; Lyophyllaceae
Source: the annotation of a GenBank genome assembly
GCCGCGUUGGCUCAGUGGGAGAGCGUCUCACUCGUAUCGUCUUCGAUGGAAUCGACACGACUUGUACAUGAGAAGGUCACUCGUUCAAUCCGGGUACGCGGCA